GCACUUGGAGGACGAAUAGCUAUUGCUAAUUGCACCUAUAAACCGUGGGUGCGAAAUUGACUAUGUCAAAUAAAGUUCUAAGCAGAAAUAUGAUAAUGACAUUGUCUGCUUAUGUGUCUUGACCAAAUUACGUGCCAGCAGUCGCGGUAAUACGUAGAAGACUAGUGUUAUUCAUCUUUAAUAGGUUUAAAGGGUACCUAGACGGUAAAUAAAGCUUUAGGGGACUAAUUUACUAGAGUUACUUGUGAGGGGGUUUUAAAGUACUAAUGGUGUAGAGAUGAAAUUCUGUGAUACCUCUUUUCGAAAGAAAAAUCAUGGCACAGGUAUAGGCGAAGGCAUCCCCUUAUGCGAUAACUGACGUUGAAGGACGAAGGCUCUUUAUCGCGAACAGGAUUAGGUACCCCAGUAGUCGGAGCAGAAAAUGAUGAAUGUCAUAGAUUAGAUCCCUAUGAUUUAUUCUAUAAAUGAAAGUGUAAGCAUUCCACCUCAAGAGUAAUUUGGCAACAUUGGAACUGAAAUCAUUAGACCGUUUCUGAAACCAGUAGUGAAGUAUGUUGUUUAAUUUGAUAAUCCGCAAAAAACCUUACCACAGUUUGAAUAUUUAGACUUUUUUUACAAUUAAAGUGAAACCACAAAUAAAGUGAAAUCACAAUUAAAGUGAAAUGAUAUAUUUACAAGCGUUGCACGGCUGUCUUCAGUUAAUGUCGUGAGAUUUUGGUUAGUUCCAUUAAAUUAACGUAAACCCUUACUUUAUUUUUAUAUAAAGUUGUUCUCCGCUAUAUUGGAUAAGAUAACAGGGGCUAAGAC
RNAcentral lists this ribosomal RNA (807 nucleotides) under Ramboldia sanguinolenta. Its description in RNAcentral is "SSU rRNA". It matches the Rfam family "Bacterial small subunit ribosomal RNA", at positions 359 to 1165 of the family's 1533-position model. Lineage: Eukaryota; Fungi; Ascomycota; Lecanoromycetes; Lecanorales; Ramboldiaceae. The record is from RNAcentral.